This 72-nucleotide transfer RNA is filed under the name Heterocephalus glaber (naked mole-rat). It matches the Rfam family "tRNA". Rfam says of the family: Transfer RNA (tRNA) molecules are approximately 80 nucleotides in length. Their secondary structure includes four short double-helical elements and three loops (D, anti-codon, and T loops). The record is from Rfam by way of RNAcentral. Lineage: Eukaryota; Metazoa; Chordata; Mammalia; Rodentia; Bathyergidae.
GGGGUUGUAGCCCAGUGGUACACCACUUGCCUAGCAUGCAAGAGGCCCUGGGUUCAAACCCCAGGACCACCA